UGUUGGUAUCUUAGUGGCGGACGGGUGAGUAACGCGUGGGUAACCUGCCUUACACUGGGGGAUAACACUUAGAAAUAGGUGCUAAUACCGCAUAACAGGGAAAGAUGCAUGUCUUUUCCUUGAAAACUCCGGUGGUGUAAGAUGGACCCGCGUCUGAUUAGCUGGUUGGCGGGGUAACGGCCCACCAAGGCGACGAUCAGUAGCCGGCCUGAGAGGGUGAACGGCCACAUUGGGACUGAGACACGGCCCAAACUCCUACGGAAGGCAGCAG
This 271-nucleotide ribosomal RNA is filed under the name uncultured bacterium. RNAcentral describes it as "partial 16S ribosomal RNA". It matches the Rfam family "Bacterial small subunit ribosomal RNA", at positions 82 to 354 of the family's 1533-position model. The record is from RNAcentral.